UACAGAGGGUGCGAGCGUUGUCCGGAAUCACUGGGCGUAAAGGGCGCGUAGGCGGCUUGGUAAGCGUGCGGUGAAAGCUCGGGGCUCAACCCCGAGUCUGCCGUGCGAACUGCCGGGCUUGAGCACAGUAGAGGCAGAUGGAAUUCCGGGUGUAGCGGUGGAAUGCGUAGAGAUCCGGAAGAACACCGGUGGCGAAGGCGGUCGGCUGGGCUGUGUCUGACGCUGAUGCGCGACAGCGGGGGGAGCAAACAGG
Molecule: ribosomal RNA, 253 nt
Filed under: uncultured bacterium
Lineage: Bacteria
Description: partial 16S ribosomal RNA
Rfam family: Bacterial small subunit ribosomal RNA
Source: RNAcentral